RNAcentral lists this ribosomal RNA (983 nucleotides) under Tannerella forsythia. Its description in RNAcentral is "bacterial SSU rRNA". It matches the Rfam family "Bacterial small subunit ribosomal RNA", at positions 28 to 1007 of the family's 1533-position model. Lineage: Bacteria; Pseudomonadati; Bacteroidota; Bacteroidia; Bacteroidales; Tannerellaceae. The record is from RNAcentral.
GAUGAACGCUAGCGAUAGGCUUAACACAUGCAAGUCGAGGGGCAUCGAGGGUAGCAAUACCUGUCGGCGACCGGCGCACGGGUGAGUAACGCGUAUGUAACCUGCCCGCAACAGAGGGAUAACCCGGCGAAAGUCGGACUAAUACCUCAUAAAACAGGGGUUCCGCAUGGGGCUAUUUGUUAAAGAUUUAUUGGUUGCGGAUGGGCAUGCGUACCAUUAGGUAGUUGGUGAGGUAACGGCUCACCAAGCCAUCGAUGGUUAGGGGUUCUGAGAGGAAGGUCCCCCACACUGGUACUGAGACACGGACCAGACUCCUACGGGAGGCAGCAGUGAGGAAUAUUGGUCAAUGGGCGAGAGCCUGAACCAGCCAAGUCGCGUGAAGGAUGACUGCCCUAUGGGUUGUAAACUUCUUUUACAGGGGAAUAAAAUGAGAUACGUGUAUUUUAUUGCAUGUACCUUGUGAAUAAGCAUCGGCUAACUCCGUGCCAGCAGCCGCGGUAAUACGGAGGAUGCGAGCGUUAUCCGGAUUUAUUGGGUUUAAAGGGUGCGUAGGUGGGCUGUUAAGUCCGCGGUGAAAGUUUGUCGCUUAACGAUAAAAUUGCCGUUGAAACUGGUAGUCUUGAGUAUAGAUGAAGUAGGCGGAAUGCGUGGUGUAGCGGUGAAAUGCAUAGAGAUCACGCAGAACUCCGAUUGCGAAGGCAGCUUACUAAGGUAUAACUGACACUGAAGCACGAAAGCGUGGGUAUCAAACAGGAUUAGAUACCCUGGUAGUCCACGCAGUAAACGAUGAUUACUAGGAGUUUGCGAUAUAGUGUAAGCUCUACAGCGAAAGCGUUAAGUAAUCCACCUGGGGAGUACGCCGGCAACGGUGAAACUCAAAGGAAUUGACGGGGGCCCGCACAAGCGGAGGAACAUGUGGUUUAAUUCGAUGAUACGCGAGGAACCUUACCCGGGAUUGAAAUGUAGACGACGGAGAGUGAGAG